RNAcentral lists this long non-coding RNA (1778 nucleotides) under Serinus canaria (Common canary). RNAcentral describes it as "lncRNA (ENSSCAG00000012377.1)". The record is from RNAcentral. Lineage: Eukaryota; Metazoa; Chordata; Aves; Passeriformes; Fringillidae.
CCCAUGCAAACCCUCCAGUGAUUUCCCCCUUUGCUGGCUGGGUCACCCCAUUUUGCUUUUCCUUUCCAGAGGAUCAGCAGGAGCCCAGGGACAGCCAGGAUGGCAGUGCCAGCAGUGCCAGCAGUGCCAGCAGUGCCAGCAGUGCCAGCAGUGCCAUCUCCCUGAGGAUCGCCUCCGUCCUGCCGGGGCUCCGCUACGCCCUGCGCAGAGCGGCCGCUUCCUCCUGCAGCGCCCCAGGCAGCCCCCGCAUCCAGGAGCACCUCCAGGAGUAUGCAGAGCUCCAGGGAAGCUCUCAGGGCAGCCCUGGGCAGGGCAGUGACAUUCCCAGGGGUCCUGUCCCCUCUCCAGAGCAGGAUGGGGACGCUGGCCCUGCCCAGAAGCUCUCGGAGCAAUCCCUGGCCCGGCUGCGCCGUUACCUCUCCGACCCCGGCAGCUUCACCCUGGGCAUCUCAGCAGCCUUGCAGUGUCUCUGUGGGGCUGGCAGCAAUGUGGGAGCUGCUCCUGGGAAUUCCUCCUCCUCCUCUUCCUCCUCAGUGCCCCCAAAUCCUGCUCCUUCCACCAGAGCCACAGGAACAAUGCAGGAUAAGGGAGAGCUUCCCAGUCCUGCUUCGGAGAGAUUCCUGAAAAGUGUCACCUCUCCCAUCAAGCCCUGGGGUCGGGAGCUCAGGAGGAAAUCCAGCAGGAUCCUGGGGAAGAGCGUGUCACCCCUCAAGGCACAAACACAUCCUGGGGGGAACAGCAGCAGGAGCAGGGAGGCAGCCAAGAAAAAAAGCAACGUCGCUUCCUCCUGUCCCAAAAAACCGGGAUCCACGGGCAGUUCCAACGAGCCCAUGCUGAAAUUGGCCAAUCUGCAGCUGCCACAUGGAAGGAAAAGAGGUGCAGAGGUCCUGGCUGCAGAAAUUGUCCACAAGCCCCAGUGGGAAGGUGCUGAGAAGGAAAGUUCAGCUCCCAGUGGUCCUGCUGUGGAGGCAAAGAGGCCAAAAACCCUGGAAAACGUGGACACAAAGAAGGUUCCUGGCACUGAGAGUGGCACAAAGCCAGGGAAAAGCAAAAUGCAGAAAAACGUGGAAAACAGAGCAGCAAAACCUCCGGAGAAGCAGCAGGAGGAAGGGAGUGAGAGGAAGGAGCCGCUCUCGGAGCUCCCCAGCGAAGCCUCAUCCCAACCCCCCGGAGCAGAAAUCCCAAGGGAAGUUCAUCCCAUGGCAAUUCCCAGCGUUGCCUUUGCCCUGCCAGGGGACAACAGUGACUCCCACGCCCUGAACCUGCUGGCUGACCUGGCCCUGGGCUCCUGCCUUCCUGCCUUUAUUCCCAAGGAUCCUGGGGUGGUCCCUGCGGAAUGCGGGGAUUCCUGGGAUCAGCAGAGCCCUUCCGACCCCAAAUCCCUGCGCGUGUCCUCCGACCACAAAUACCACAGGGCAGACAAGCAGGGCAAAAAAUCCACUUCCAGCAAGGUAUCCCUGAGCCAGCCACUUCCUGAGCAAACAGAUUCCAGCCAGCUGGCCUCUCUUCCCAGGGAAAAAACCUCUGGAAUUUUCAGCGGGAGCAGCGGGGUUCCCAUCCCCGCCCUAUUCCAGGCCUUUCCUCCCCGCCAAGCUCCGCAGGCCUGCGAGGUGAACUCGCACUCCAUCAUCUCAGCCGAGCACUCCUACGCCUCCCCCAUGCCCGAGGAUCCCAAAGCAGCCCCAGAUCCCAAAGGGAACACCAGGAGUGCUCCUGCUGCUCCCUUGGUUGGGAAGGUGCUGCCCUUCCGGCACCAGCAGAGCGGCACCGAGCCCGCC